This 253-nucleotide ribosomal RNA is filed under the name uncultured bacterium. RNAcentral describes it as "partial 16S ribosomal RNA". It matches the Rfam family "Bacterial small subunit ribosomal RNA", at positions 524 to 776 of the family's 1533-position model. The record is from RNAcentral.
UACAGAGGUCUCAAGCGUUGUUCGGAUUCAUUGGGCGUAAAGGGUGCGUAGGCGGCGCGGUAAGUCGGGUGUGAAAUCUCGGAGCUUAACUCCGAAACUGCAUUCGAUACUGCCGUGCUUGAGGACUGGAGAGGAGACUGGAAUUUACGGUGUAGCGGUGAAAUGCGUAGAUAUCGUAAGGAAGACCAGUGGCGAAGGCGGCUCACUGGUCCGGUACUGACGCUGAUGUGCGAAAGCGUGGGGAGCAAACAGG